ACGCUCGACACCUACGGGAGGCAGCAGGUGAGGAAUAUUGGUCAAGUGGACGCAAGUCUGAACCAGCCAUGCCGCGUGCAGGAUGACGGCUCUAUGAGUUGUAAACUGCUUUUGUACGAGGGUAAACGCAGAUACGUGUAUCUGUCUGAAAGUAUCGUACGAAUAAGGAUCGGCUAACUCCGUGCCACAGCCGCGGUAAUCUGAGCGGGCUGGCAAGGC
This 219-nucleotide ribosomal RNA is filed under the name uncultured bacterium. RNAcentral's name for it is "partial 16S ribosomal RNA". It matches the Rfam family "Bacterial small subunit ribosomal RNA", at positions 328 to 539 of the family's 1533-position model. The record is from RNAcentral.